This 2585-nucleotide long non-coding RNA is filed under the name Heterocephalus glaber (naked mole-rat). Its description in RNAcentral is "lncRNA (ENSHGLG00100043218.1)". The record is from RNAcentral. Lineage: Eukaryota; Metazoa; Chordata; Mammalia; Rodentia; Bathyergidae.
GAUUUUGAUUUUUUUCAUUUUUUGUUUUGGUACCGGGAUUGAACUCGGGUCCUUGUGCUUUCCAGGCAGGCGCAGGAAGCACUGAGCUAAAUCUCCGGCCCAGUUGACAGAUUUUUUUUUUUUUUUUUUUGGUACCGCGGAUUGAACUUGGGACCUUGCGCUUGCAAGGCAGCCGCCAGAACCACUGAGCUAAAUCCCCGGCCCUCCAGUUGACUGAUUUUCAAACAUGUUGCCUUGAAAUGCCCAGCCUGCUGGCCACAGCCACUCCUCCUGUGCCCUCAGGGCCCCCUUGCCUCUUGCAGUUUGGCCCAUGAAAGUAGGAGGAAGAUGUGCUUGGGCGUUGGUCCAUUGUGCAGCUCUGUGCUCCGAGGAAUAAAGCAGCAGUGGUGUUACUGUGGCACUGGCUCUUCCCUGGGAGUCGCUCUCUGUGGGCUUUGGAAACAUUGGCUUUUAAGGCUUGCCCAGCAAGUUGAUGACUCAGUUGGAAAACCCAGGCCUGCGAGUGGUGCUUUCUGCUGUCCCUCUGCGUGGCCAUGCAGCAGGACUGUGACCACGGAUGUGGCAUCCGGUGAGGUGGCCACCAGCCACGUGUGACUUGGAGUACCUGACAAGUAACUGGUGCACCUGAGGAAGCGCAGUGUGUGUGUGCGGCGCCUGGUCACGCUGCUGCAUGCAUGUGAGACAGCCAGGAUGUAAUGUGAUCGGUACCAAUUUAUUGCAGUAGCCGCCUGUGGCCGGCAGCUGCCGGAUUGGACAGCACUGACUGGCAAGAGCUUUGCCCACACUAAGUUUGAAAUUAUGUAAUUUAACUAAUUAGACUCAGUUUAAUAAUCUCUUGUUCAUGUACAAAUUGGAGAGGUAGCUUUUAACUUUUUUCCUACCGUGCCUGAGUAUUUUAUGGCUAUCAAAAGGCAGCACCGUUUCCUUCUUUAUGCUGGGAUUACAGGCCUGCGCCACCGUGCCUGUAGAUUAAUUUGUAAAUCUGGCCCCAGAUUAACUUGUAAAAAACCUCUUCUUGGUCGUAGUUCAUGUGUUCAGCAACCACACUGGCUGAGGCCCCGGCCGGCAGCGUGGGCCAGGCAGCUCUGUCGUCACGAGAAGCUGUCUGGACCCAGCAGUCAGGGGGCAUGCUUGUCUAUAAACUCUCUCCCGCUUACGUCCUCCUCUGGCUGCAGCCUUGUUUCUCUGCUUUUCCUCCAAGCAGAAUUGCGUGCUUCUUCCAUGGCCUUUGCUUGGCCUCUGCACCGCUCAGCCCUGGGACUGACCUAGGGAGGGCCACCCAGGCUUCUGUCUACAAAUCCAGCACUGGGGCUGGGCCCAGACCUUCAGCCUUUUUAAAGAGUAUUUUUUAUUUUGAUACAGGGUCUUGCUGAGUGUCUCUGUUACCCAGGCUGGGCUUGAACUUGCAGUCCUCCUGCCUCAGCCUCCCCAGUGCUGGGAUUACAGGCUCACGCCACCGGGCCUGGCUGUAUAAAAUACUUGAUUCUUCAAACUUCUAAAGGGAAAAGCUACAUUAAAAAAUCGCACCAUACUUAGUAUAGCAUGACUCUGGAGUGGGUCCUCAUGUCUCCGUGUUGGGGGCUUGGAACCCCCUGGAGCUGUGUCAUGGAGGUUCAGGGCUCUGCCAGUGCCAGUGUCUCGGCUUGGUGCGUGCAUCGUGGUUGUACAGGUCCUUGUGUGUAGGGUCUCAGCCGUGCUCGGGAGGAGGGAGACGCGUACUGCACUGGAGCAUAAAGAGCUCUGUUGCUUCUCAGGAGACCAUGGGGUUAUUACCCUUUGCAGACCUGGUUCAAGUCUUUGCUCUCUCGGUAUCAUGGAUCUUGGAUGUGUGAUUUAGAUCUCUAAGACCCUAAGACUUAUGUCGAAGUGUUGAGAGGAGGUAGUGUAAGGCUGUGCUCAGCACAGUGCUUCACACAGUACUUCUCAGUAAAAGGUUACUUAGAUGCUUAUAAAAUUCAGACAUCAAAAAAUGCUUUUCUCAUGUUCAGUGCUGACUUCUUUAUGUAAUAUAAACUCUUGUUGUUGGUUUUGGUUUUGGGUUUUUUGUGGGUUUUUUUGGUACCAGGGAUCAAACUCGGGUCCUUGCGCUUUCCAGACAGGCGGCGGAACCACUGAGCUAAAUUUCCGGCCCCUGUUAUUUUUGUUUUUGUUUGUUUGUUUGUUUUUUGGUACCAGGGUUCGAACUCUGGACCUUGCGCUUGCAAGGCAAAUGCCAGAACCACUGAGCUAAAUCCCUGGCCCUGUUGUUUUUGUUUUUGAGAUUGGGCCUCACCAUGUAACUCAGGCUGGCCUUGAAUUUGAAAUCCUCCUGCCUCAGCCUCCCAAGCAGCUGGGGCCACAGCUGUAUCCCUGAAUACUACUUUUUUCAUUAAUUGCUUUUAUAAUAGUUGACAGUGUGGGACAAGAAUGUACCUAAUGUGUUAUAUAAUCCUCACAUUAGAGCUCUUUGGUCACAUGCUGUAGUUUUUUCGUUUUUUGAGACAGGGUCUUGCUGUGUAGCCCAGGCUGCCUUGAAUUUUCAAUGCUACAACCUUGGCCUCCUGAGUGGCUGGGAUUACUAGUGUGCACCACCAUACCUGGCUACA